UCGAUAUUGCUGCUACAGUGUGUUUGCUACAGUACCGUCGUUACUGUUCACACACUUUUUUUUGGUUUUUUUUUUUUUUUUUACCUGAGUCAUUAGAAAACAAGAAAAAUCAGUAAUAAAUGAAAAUUAAACCAUAUUUAAAACAAACCUAACAGUGGGUUGCCUCCCACUCAGCGCUUAUUUUUAGUCAUUGGCUUGGACUUCUAGAGAUCUGAUUAAAUCCGCAUAAGAAUGAGAACUUGCUCCAACCCAAGUCUCAAUGUCUACUCUUUGAAGCUUUAUCAUUCUUGUGUGAAAGCCUCCUCCAUAGACUUUUCUCCUUUGUCUAUCAUCUCAACAAUAAGGAGUGCUUUAAGCUUUGCAUAUGGAUGUGAGAAGCAUGUGCUGCGCAAUCUUGAUUUUCUGAUACUAUUUGAGAAGUAAGGAGUCAAUGGUAAUUGAGAACCUCCUUUGGUUCGUUUCCGCUUCAUCCAAUUUCUCCCCUUCUUUCCCAUAGACUUGUCUGAAUGCGUGGUGGUAUCUCCAUAAAAAAUAUUUCCACACAAUUCAUACUCAUUCUGCUCUGAUUCGCGUCUGGUGUCGAUCGAUGGUAUAUGAUCGGUAUCGAUCGAUGAUGAAGUUUUAGUGUCGAUCGAUUUGCUAAUGUCGUUCGAUGGUGCUUCUGCUGGGCCUUCAUCUACUUCAUCUCUAAAUCGCAGCCCUCUCUGAGAAGCUUCUACAUGAUGUUUAUCAUUCAAUACCUCAAUGUAAGAACUCAGAUACACACCUUUAUCUGGUGGGAUAGGAGAUUCAACUUCAAACACUG
RNAcentral lists this long non-coding RNA (805 nucleotides) under Brassica rapa (field mustard). Its description in RNAcentral is "long non-coding RNA (BRAP_LNC006852)". Lineage: Eukaryota; Viridiplantae; Streptophyta; Magnoliopsida; Brassicales; Brassicaceae. The record is from RNAcentral.